RNAcentral lists this long non-coding RNA (287 nucleotides) under Medicago truncatula (barrel medic). RNAcentral's name for it is "long non-coding RNA (MTRU_LNC002456)". The record is from RNAcentral. Lineage: Eukaryota; Viridiplantae; Streptophyta; Magnoliopsida; Fabales; Fabaceae.
UUAUUUCUUAGACCCAUUAAAACAACAAAGAAUCUAAGGGGCUUGUGAAAUGGUAUGUUCCAAAGUGGCACAACCCAAUUAUCUCAUGAAUCAUUCAGCACAAAAUUCUUCCCCUAACGCCAACCGGAAAUUCCAUUUUGUCUCCAUAUAAGGAAUCCAGAAGCAUCGACGUGCUCCAUCGUCUUUAGCACCAAAGGAACAAUCAGAUAUCUACUAAAUUGUUCAUAGCGUCAAGGAAUGUAUUCAAGUUAGAUAGUAGUUGCUCAUAUUCAGUUUCUGUAACAAAC